ACAUGCAAGUCCAGCGAAGAGAUGGGAGCUUGCUCCCUGAUCUUAGCGGCGGACGGGUGAGUAACACGUGGGCAACCUGCCCUGCAGACUGGGAUAACUCCGGGAAACCGGAGCUAAUACCGGGUAAUACAUCGCACCGCAUGGUGCAAUGUUGAAAGUUGGCUUUCUGAGCUAACACUGCAGGAUGGGCCCGCGGCGCAUUAGCUAGUUGGUAAGGUAAUGGCUUACCAAGGCGACGAUGCGUAGCCGACCUGAGAGGGUGAUCGGCCACACUGGGACUGAGACACGGCCCAGACUCCUACGGGAGGCAGCAGUAGGGAAUCUUCCGCAAUGGACGAAAGUCUGACGGAGCAACGCCGCGUGAGUGACGAAGGCCUUCGGGUCGUAAAGCUCUGUUGUUAGGGAAGAACAAGUACCGUUCGAAUAGGGCGGUACCUUGACGGUACCUAACCAGAAAGCCACGGCUAACUACGUGCCAGCAGCCGCGGUAAUACNUAUGUGGCAAGCGUUGUCCGGAAUUAUUGGGCGUAAAGCGCGCGC
RNAcentral lists this ribosomal RNA (540 nucleotides) under Bacillus sp. 4-12. Its description in RNAcentral is "bacterial SSU rRNA". It matches the Rfam family "Bacterial small subunit ribosomal RNA", at positions 53 to 572 of the family's 1533-position model. The record is from RNAcentral. Lineage: Bacteria; Bacillati; Bacillota; Bacilli; Caryophanales; Bacillaceae.